RNAcentral lists this unclassified non-coding RNA (321 nucleotides) under uncultured Thelephora. RNAcentral describes it as "sequence contains 5.8S rRNA gene". The record is from RNAcentral. Lineage: Eukaryota; Fungi; Basidiomycota; Agaricomycetes; Thelephorales; Thelephoraceae.
GAACGCACCUUGCGCCUCUUGGCUAUUCCGAGGGGCAUGCCUGUUUGAGUAUCAUGAACACCUCAACUCUUCACGGUUUGUUCUGUGAUGGGCUUGGACUUCUGGAGGUUUUGCUGGCCUAUGGUCGGCUCCUCUCAAAUUGAUCAGCUUUACCAGUGUUUGGCGGCGUCAUGGGUGUGAUAACUAUCUACGCUUGUGGCCGUCUGCCAGGUAACCUUCAGCGAUGGAGGUUCGCUGGGGCUUACAAAUGUCUCUCCCAAGCGAAGACAGCUUUUUGAACGUUCGAUCUCAAAUCAGGUAGGACUACCCGCUGAACUUAAG